CACGUAGGGGCCAAGCGUUGUCCGGAUUUAUUGGGCGUAAAGAGCUCGUAGGCGGCUCGGUAAGUCGGGUGUGAAACCUCCAGGCUCAACCUGGAGACGCCACCCGAUACUGCUGUGGCUAGAGUCCGGUAGGGGAGCGUGGAAUUCCCGGUGUAGUGGUGGAAUGCGUAGAUAUCGGGAGGAACACCAGUGGCGAAGGCGGUUGCCUGGAGCUUUGCUGACGCUGAGGCGCGAAAGCGUGGGGAGCAAACAGG
This 254-nucleotide ribosomal RNA is filed under the name uncultured bacterium. RNAcentral describes it as "partial 16S ribosomal RNA". It matches the Rfam family "Bacterial small subunit ribosomal RNA", at positions 524 to 776 of the family's 1533-position model. The record is from RNAcentral.